Molecule: transfer RNA, 94 nt
Rfam family: tRNA
About the family: Transfer RNA (tRNA) molecules are approximately 80 nucleotides in length.
Source: Rfam
CCGACCUUAGCUCAGUUGGCAGAGCGGAGGACUGUAGUAGCUUAAAAUCCUGAAAGUUAUCCUUAGGUCGCUGGUUCGAAUCCGGCAGGUCGGA